AUACGUAGGUGGCAAGCGUUGUCCGGAAUUAUUGGGCGUAAAGCGCAUGUAGGCGGUUUGGUAAGUCGGUCGUGAAAAUGCGGUGCUUAACGCCGUAUGGCGAUUGAAACUGCUGAACUUGAGUGGAGGAGAGGAAAGGGGAACUCCCAGGGUAGCGGUGAAAUGCGUAGAUAUUGGGAAGAACACCGGUGGCGAAGGCGCCUUUCUGGACUGUGUCUGACGCUCAGAUGCGAAAGCCAGGGUAGCGAACGGGAUUAGAUACCCCGGUAGUCCUGGCCGUAAACGAUGGGUACUAGGUGUGGGAGGUAUCGACUCCUUCCGUGCCGGAGUUAACGCAAUAAGUACCCCGCCUGGGGAGUACGGCCGCAAGGCUUAAACUCAAAUGAAUUGACGGGG
This 396-nucleotide ribosomal RNA is filed under the name uncultured bacterium. RNAcentral's name for it is "partial 16S ribosomal RNA". It matches the Rfam family "Bacterial small subunit ribosomal RNA", at positions 523 to 918 of the family's 1533-position model. The record is from RNAcentral.